Meloidogyne enterolobii is the source of this 84-nucleotide non-coding RNA. Lineage: Eukaryota; Metazoa; Nematoda; Chromadorea; Rhabditida; Meloidogynidae. The record is from the annotation of a GenBank genome assembly.
UAUCUUGUGGUUUAGUUGGAAAAUAUUGGGGUCAGCAAGCGAGCGUUUUCCAAAGGGUCCCGGGUUCGAAUCCCGGUAGCGGAA